AGACCUACCAGUCUUCAGGGGAAUGUCCCUUUUGGCAAAUCCUGAAACUCAGGGGAUCUGAAGAACCAGAUUCAGAGCGUCCUGACAGACUCUACAAUCUUGGACAAAUUCAAAAUUCUCCAUCCCAAGACUUCUUAGAAGAAAAACAACUUCUGUAGCAAUUAUACAGAGAUUAUGCACCUAGCAGAAAAAGGAAGCCAUAAGAAAUCGAGACCUUUUGAACUUAAAGUAGGCAUGUCACUCUUCAACUUUUGGUCUUCUCUAG
This is a long non-coding RNA of Vombatus ursinus (common wombat), 265 nucleotides long. RefSeq lists it as uncharacterized. The transcript has 3 exons. The record is from RefSeq and is a predicted model, not a curated record. Lineage: Eukaryota; Metazoa; Chordata; Mammalia; Diprotodontia; Vombatidae.